CAGUCGCCGCGGGAAUACAGAGGGUGCGAGCGUUAAUCGGAUUUACUGGGCGUAAAGCGUGCGUAGGCGGCUUCUUAAGUCGGAUGUGAAAUCCCUGAGCUUAACUUAGGAAUUGCAUUCGAUACUGGGAAGCUAGAGUAUGGGAGAGGAUGGUAGAAUUCCAGGUGUAGCGGUGAAAUGCGUAGAUAUCGGAAGGAACACCUGUGGCGAAAGCGGCUCACUGGACAAUAACUGACGCUGAUGCACGAAAGCUAGGGGAGCAAACAGGAUUAGAUACCCGUGUAGUCCCUGUCUCUUAUAC
Molecule: ribosomal RNA, 301 nt
Filed under: uncultured bacterium
Lineage: Bacteria
Description: partial 16S ribosomal RNA
Rfam family: Bacterial small subunit ribosomal RNA
Source: RNAcentral